This 434-nucleotide ribosomal RNA is filed under the name uncultured bacterium. RNAcentral describes it as "partial 16S ribosomal RNA". It matches the Rfam family "Bacterial small subunit ribosomal RNA", at positions 29 to 507 of the family's 1533-position model. The record is from RNAcentral.
AGCGAACGCUGGCGGCAGGCCUAACACAUGCAAGUCGAACGAACCUUUCGGGGUUAGUGGCGGACGGGUGAGUAACACGUGGGAACGUGCCUUUAGGUUCGGAAUAACACAGGGAAACAUGUGCUAAUACCGAAUGUGCCCUUCGGGGGGAAGAUUAAUCGCCUUUAGAGCGGCCCGCGUCUGAUUAGCUAGUUGGUUGAGGUAAUGGCUCACCAAGGCGACGAUCAGUAGCUGGUCUGAGAGGAUGAUCAGCCACAUUGGGACUGAGACACGGCCCAAACUCCUACGGGAGGCAGCAGUGGGGAAUCUUGCGCAAUGGGCGAAAGCCUGACGCAGCCAUGCCGCGUGAAUGAUGAAGGUCUUAGGAUUGUAAAAUUCUUUCACCGGGGACGAUAAUGACGGUACCCGGAGAAGAAGCCCCGGCUAACUUCGUG